GGAAAGGAGAGAACCUGGAAAGUAUACUAGAUGCCUUUUCAACUAGUUCCAAUAAAUAUCCAGCGUACAAGAAUUUCGCAACUAGAGAAAAAUCUUUUUAUGGCUGUGAUAGUAGUAUGAAGAAGAGAGCUGGAGAAUUUGCAAAAGAUGGGUUCUUUUAUGAAGGUUAUGAUCGAGCAACAUCAUGUUUUAAUUGUGGUUACUCCAAAAGCGACUGGACUGAUUCGGACGAUAUUCACACAAAGCAUUUACAAUUAAACGAAAAAUGUGACUUUAUGAACUAUGUGCAAAAAUUUUAAAGACUUGAGUUCUGUUUGUAUGCAUAAAUAACAUGUAAGGAAUUUUAUAUGUCUUGAUGUUGGAUCAUACAGAUUGGUGAGUUAGUACUUGAAUGUAUAACUCUUUGUAAGUACUGUAAUAUUGCAAAGUGUAAGGCGUUCAUGUUAAAUAAGUGCCCUACCAAAAAUGUGCCAAAGUCAACUUGAAAGUAAUUAUAUAUGCUAUACAAUUAUGUUGUAAUUUGAUUAUGAAAAAGACGAUUUGAAAAGCUGAAAAAUUAAAAUUUGUCUGGGGAAUUUUUGUUUCGAAAAACUGUCUUCUUUCACGACAUCGGUUUCUAAAUGAUGAUUUCAUGAAUCUCGGGAAUUGAUUUACAUAUUGCAGUUCUAAAAUAUUUCUCUAGUAGAAACAGCACUUUUAUACGGUUACAGGAAUAAUCUGUUACACCUAAUAUUUAUAUUUUUAUCAGAUAAAAUUGUCACAAUUUUCUUUCAUUCAUUAAAAUUAGAUCAUCCUUCUUAUUUUUUCCAAAUUAUUGCUGUCAACAUUUUAAUUACUUGAGAUAAAAGAUACUACAGAGAUACAUCUGUUUCAUAUUUGGAUAUUUUACUUGAAAAGGGCGUUAAUAGUAAUCUAAUAACCAAGCUAUAUGAUAAACAUGAUGACUUUACAAUCAUCAACUUCACGAAAAUGCUGACUGACGUUUUCAUACUAAUUGUAAGUUCAUUAUUUAAACUCUGAAUUGAUGAGGGAUUUUUCUGGUUUUUACCCGAACAUGACAUGGAUCACACGGCGGGUGUGACCGGUUGGCAGGGGAUGCUCAUUCCUUCAUGGCACCUUAUCCCAUCUCUGAUGAUUUGGAGGUCCUUGUCUGCUCUGCUCCUAUUUUGUAUUGUUUAAUGCACAUUUGAUUUCAAACGAACAGACAAACGUUUAUUUUGGUUAGAUGUCUUUCCUUUUUUCUGAUGUAUUAGCUUAUUGUUUUUUUGAUGGAAUGAACAAAUGUUGUGUAGAAUUUUAUGUUGAUUAUCUUAAACUUACAAGCAGAUCGCAAAGAAUUUUCAAAUGUUUGAAGUUAGUUGCCUGUUAUUUUACGGAACUUUUUGUUAAAAGUACUUUGAACUAGGUUUGAUUUUUAUUGCAAUGUAUCCAAUUUUGAAAAAGUUAUGUUUUUGAACUGUAGAAUGUUGUUUAGGUAUAAUUAUUCUUUUUUAAAAAAAUAAGAUGGAGAGUGGUAUACGCAAACUCCCAGAAAGAUUGGAAUCUUUUAAAAUUUGAAAAUUUUAGUGAACCAGCAAUGGGAAAAAUUUGAAAGCAUGUGAUAGAUUAUAGUUAGUUUCAUUUCCUAUGUAUUUCAUGUGCUUUAAAUGUGAUGUUUUGUAGUUUUCGGAAUUGUAAUAAAAUACAGCUUUACUGCCACGUUA
Long non-coding RNA from Saccostrea cuccullata (small rock oyster), 1703 nucleotides. RefSeq lists it as uncharacterized. The record is from RefSeq and is a predicted model, not a curated record. Lineage: Eukaryota; Metazoa; Mollusca; Bivalvia; Ostreida; Ostreidae. The transcript is spliced from 2 exons.